GAUGAAGAACGCAGCGAAAUGCGAUAAGUAGUGUGAAUUGCAGAAUUCAGUGAAUCAUCGAAUCUUUGAACGCACAUUGCGCCCUUUGGUAUUCCAAAGGGCAUGCCUGUUCGAGCGUCAUUUGUACCCUCAAGCUUUGCUUGGUGUUGGGCGUCUUGUCUCUAGCUUUGCUGGAGACUCGCCUUAAAGUAAUUGGCAGCCGGCCUACUGGUUUCGGAGCGCAGCACAAGUCGCACUCUCUAUCAGCAAAGGUCUAGCAUCCAUUAAGCCUUUUUUUCAACUUCUGACCUCGGAUCAGGUAGGGAUACCCGCUGAACUUAAGCAUAUCAAUAAGCGGAGGA
This 341-nucleotide unclassified non-coding RNA is filed under the name soil metagenome. RNAcentral's name for it is "partial contains 5.8S ribosomal RNA, internal transcribed spacer 2, and large subunit ribosomal RNA". The stretch from base 1 to 120 matches the Rfam family "5.8S ribosomal RNA", at positions 35 to 154 of the family's 154-position model. The record is from RNAcentral.